RNAcentral lists this ribosomal RNA (462 nucleotides) under Burkholderia sp. Its description in RNAcentral is "bacterial SSU rRNA". It matches the Rfam family "Bacterial small subunit ribosomal RNA", at positions 61 to 516 of the family's 1533-position model. Lineage: Bacteria; Pseudomonadati; Pseudomonadota; Betaproteobacteria; Burkholderiales; Burkholderiaceae. The record is from RNAcentral.
GUCGAACGGCAGCACGGGUGCUUGCACCUGGUGGCGAGUGGCGAACGGGUGAGUAAUACAUCGGAACAUGUCCUGUAGUGGGGGAUAGCCCGGCGAAAGCCGGAUUAAUACCGCAUACGAUCUACGGAUGAAAGCGGGGGACCUUCGGGCCUCGCGCUAUAGGGUUGGCCGAUGGCUGAUUAGCUAGUUGGUGGGGUAAAGGCCCACCAAGGCGACGAUCAGUAGCUGGUCUGAGAGGACGACCAGCCACACUGGGACUGAGACACGGCCCAGACUCCUACGGGAGGCAGCAGUGGGGAAUUUUGGACAAUGGGCGAAAGCCUGAUCCAGCAAUGCCGCGUGUGUGAAGAAGGCCUUCGGGUUGUAAAGCACUUUUGUCCGGAAAGAAAUCCUGAGGGCUAAUAUCCUUCGGGGAUGACGGUACCGGAAGAAUAAGCACCGGCUAACUACGUGCCAGCAGCG